CCUACGGGAGGCAGCAGUAGGGAAUAUUGCUCAAUGGGGGAAACCCUGAAGCAGCAACGCCGCGUGGAGGAUGAAGGUUUUCGGAUUGUAAACUCCUGUUGUUAGAGAAGAUAAUGACGGUAUCUAACGAAUAAGAACCGGCUAACCCCGUGCCAGCAGCCGCGGUAAUACGGUGGGGGAAAGCGUUACUCGGAAUCACUGUGCGUAAAGAUCGCGUAGGCGGGUUAGCAAGUCAGAUGUGAAAUCCUAUGGCUUAACCAUAGAACUGCAUUUGAAACUGUUAUACUAGAGAAUGGGAGAGGUAGGUGGAAUACUUGGUGUAGGGGUAAAAGACGUAGAGAUCAAGAGGAAUACUCAUUGCGAAGGCGCACUGCUAGAACAUAACUGACGCUGAUGCGCGAAAGCGUGGGGAGCAAACAGGAUUAGAUACCCCGUGUAGUC
RNAcentral lists this ribosomal RNA (441 nucleotides) under uncultured bacterium. Its description in RNAcentral is "partial 16S ribosomal RNA". It matches the Rfam family "Bacterial small subunit ribosomal RNA", at positions 338 to 795 of the family's 1533-position model. The record is from RNAcentral.